Small nuclear RNA from Malaya genurostris, 139 nucleotides. RefSeq annotates it as U4 spliceosomal RNA. NCBI's taxonomy places the organism in Eukaryota, Metazoa, Arthropoda, Insecta, Diptera, Culicidae. The record is from RefSeq and is a predicted model, not a curated record. The transcript has a single exon.
AGCUUUGCGCAGUGGUGAUAUCGUAACCAAUGAGGUACAACCGAGGUGCGAUUAUUACUAGUUGAAAACUAAUAUAUACUGGCAUGUUUUACUUGAUUUUUUUUUUUAAAUAACUAUUCAUUGGAAUAUGAGUUAAAAU